AAAUUGAAGAGUUUGAUCAUGGCUCAGAUUGAACGCUGGCGGCAGGCCUAACACAUGCAAGUCGAACGGUAACAGGAAGCAGCUUGCUGCUUUGCUGACGAGUGGCGGACGGGUGAGUAAUGUCUGGGAAACUGCCUGAUGGAGGGGGAUAACUACUGGAAACGGUGGCUAAUACCGCAUAACGUCGCAAGACCAAAGAGGGGGACCUUCGGGCCUCUUGCCAUCAGAUGUGCCCAGAUGGGAUUAGCUUGUUGGUGAGGUAACGGCUCACCAAGGCGACGAUCCCUAGCUGGUCUGAGAG
Molecule: ribosomal RNA, 301 nt
Filed under: Salmonella enterica
Lineage: Bacteria; Pseudomonadati; Pseudomonadota; Gammaproteobacteria; Enterobacterales; Enterobacteriaceae
Also listed under: 3 other names
Description: partial 16S ribosomal RNA
Rfam family: Bacterial small subunit ribosomal RNA
Source: RNAcentral